This 247-nucleotide ribosomal RNA is filed under the name uncultured archaeon. RNAcentral describes it as "partial 16S ribosomal RNA". It matches the Rfam family "Archaeal small subunit ribosomal RNA", at positions 691 to 937 of the family's 1478-position model. The record is from RNAcentral.
CCGACGGUGAGGGACGAAAGCCAGGGGAGCGAACGGGAUUAGAUACCCCGGUAGUCCUGGCCGUAAACGAUGCGUGUUAGGUGUUGGUAGGGCUCUGAGCCGUAUCAGUGCCGUAGGGAAACUGUUAAACGCGCCGCCUGGGAAGUACGCUCGCAAGGGUGAAACUUAAAGGAAUUGGCGGGGGAGCACCACAAGGGGUGAAGCCUGCGGUUCAAUUGGACUCAACGCCGGGAAACUUACCGGGGGC